This 1168-nucleotide long non-coding RNA is filed under the name Salvator merianae (Argentine black and white tegu). RNAcentral describes it as "lncRNA (ENSSMRG00000006945.1)". Lineage: Eukaryota; Metazoa; Chordata; Lepidosauria; Squamata; Teiidae. The record is from RNAcentral.
AUGUUGACCUGCAGAUUCAUGGUGACGAUACUGUACUUUGCAACUUAUGUUGCACUGACCCAUAUGCAUGUCGUGGAUCAAGGAAGGCUAAGGAGAGAAUAUUGCAGGGAACGAGCAAUUCUUGCAAGGAGCGAGGAAGCAACGCCACUGGAACGGAACUACAGGUGAAUGGAAAGGAAGAAUGCGGGUAAGCAGGUGUCACGGGGAAGUCUGAAUAGGCAAAUACGAACAUCUAUGGAAAAGGGAGAGCAGAGGAUGGAUGCGGUGUAUAGGUGCGAUGGGAUGUUUAGCCACUGGUCACAACGGCCAUCUUUUCUGCUCUGAUACCAGACGCCUACCCCACUCCAAAGUCUUUUGACUGAGGAGGACAGUUUCUUGUGUCACUUCGACAGCAAGGCUUUUCUUAUACCGUGCAAGGCUUCUGGCAUCCCCUUUAUGGCAUGGAAAGAAGCUGCCUUGCCCUGCUGUGUCCCUCACACUGCAGACAGCGCAAGGGCAGAGGCCCUCAGAGAUGCUCCACAUGCUCAAGUGCUUACACCAGAUCACCUAGACACAUUCAAGAUGGUUCAUAUUAAAGGCUCUCCUUGCAUGGACUAAAACUAGUACAGAGAGGGGGGAAAUUAACAUUACUGUCUCCUUAAUGUACUAGUUCACUCCAUAUUGCCUUUUAUGUGGAUAGACUUUUUUUAAAAAGUCCCUUUCAUAUGUGCACCCACAAAUCUGCAGUCUAAAGCAAUCCUGGGAUCAAUGGGCGUUCUGCUUACAGUGAAAAGGGAGGGCACAUGAUGUGCUGUUGAGCACAGAAUGUAAGGAAAGGAGACUCCAGCUCUAUGUCCAUCCACACACAAGCAUGGCCGAUGUAUCCACUACGGAUAACAAGAUGAAUCUGUAAAUUCAGAAGCAUUUAGGGGAGCAAACUUGUAUGACAAUGUGCGCACAAGGACAGCUUCUGAAUGUACACGGAAGAGANGGAAGCAUGAAGUGGCGAAGACAGACUGGGCUCAGGCUGGGAUGAGUGGGAAGAGUCCACACAGCAAUGCCAAGAAGUGAACAUUCAUUGGAGAGUCUACCCCUGCCUGUGGCUUUCUGCGCACAUGCGCAGGAAUGUGUGUGUGUAAACAAUACAGCAGUGGCAACAGUGUACAUACAGACUGCCUCAUGUGCGUGU